RNAcentral lists this ribosomal RNA (468 nucleotides) under uncultured bacterium. Its description in RNAcentral is "partial 16S ribosomal RNA". It matches the Rfam family "Bacterial small subunit ribosomal RNA", at positions 28 to 507 of the family's 1533-position model. The record is from RNAcentral.
GACGAACGCUGGCGGCGUGCUUAACACAUGCAAGUCGAACGGAAAGGCCCUGCUUUUGUGGGGUGCUCGAGUGGCGAACGGGUGAGUAACACGUGAGUAACCUGCCCUUGACUUUGGGAUAACUUCAGGAAACUGGGGCUAAUACCGGAUAGGAGCUCCUGCUGCAUGGUGGGGGUUGGAAAGUUUCGGCGGUUGGGGAUGGACUCGCGGCUUAUCAGCUUGUUGGUGGGGUAGUGGCUUACCAAGGGUUUGACGGGUAGCCGGCCUGAGAGGGUGACCGGCCACAUUGGGACUGAGAUACGGCCCAGACGCCUACGGGAGGCAGCAGUGGGGAAUAUUGCACAAUGGGCGGAAGCCUGAUGCAGCAACGCCGCGUGCGGGAUGACGGCCUUCGGGUUGUAAACCGCUUUCGCCUGUGACGAAGCGUGAGUGACGGUAAUGGGUAAAGAAGCACCGGCUAACUACGUG